GUGCUUAACACAUGCAAGUCGAACGGAAAGGCCCCUUCGGGGGUACUCGAGUGGCGAACGGGUGAGUAACACGUGGGUGAUCUGCCCUGCACUCUGGGAUAAGCCUGGGAAACUGGGUCUAAUACCGGAUAGGACCGCGCGCUUCAUGGUGUGUGGUGGAAAGCUUUUGCGGUGUGGGAUGGGCCCGCGGCCUAUCAGCUUGUUGGUGGGGUAAUGGCCUACCAAGGCGACGACGGGUAGCCGGCCUGAGAGGGUGUCCGGCCACACUGGGACUGAGAUACGGCCCAGACUCCUACGGGAGGCAGCAGUGGGGAAUAUUGCACAAUGGGCGCAAGCCUGAUGCAGCGACGCCGCGUGGGGGAUGACGGCCUUCGGGUUGUAAACCUCUUUCAGUAUCGGCGAAGCUCCGUGGUUUUCUGCGGGGUGACGGUAGGUACAGAAGAAGCACCGGCCAACUACGUGCCAGCAGCCGCGGUAAUACGUAGGGUGCGAGCGUUGUCCGGAAUUACUGGGCGUAAAGAGCUCGUAGGUGGUUUGUCGCGUUGUCCGUGAAAUC
RNAcentral lists this ribosomal RNA (556 nucleotides) under Mycobacterium hiberniae. Its description in RNAcentral is "Mycolicibacter hiberniae bacterial SSU rRNA". It matches the Rfam family "Bacterial small subunit ribosomal RNA", at positions 44 to 601 of the family's 1533-position model. The record is from RNAcentral. Lineage: Bacteria; Bacillati; Actinomycetota; Actinomycetes; Mycobacteriales; Mycobacteriaceae.